CGCCCCCGGACCCGGCAGGACGGACUCGCCGCGCGACUUCAGCGCCGGGACGCGGGGCAGCGCGAGGGUCACGUGGGCAGAACGUGCGGCGGCCAUGACAGCCGAGGCACGAGCGCUCCAGCGGCCCCGAGACGGGAACUGCGUCCAUGGCUGCUCUGCGCCCCGGGCACACCCUCUCCACUAAGCUUCUCCCUCGGCCCAUCUCGCUCCCGGCCUCCGAUGCCGGGGCAGCUCAGAAGCAGAGAGGCUGAAAGGGUGGUGGAGAGGAACCAACGCAGGGAAGAAAAACACAACACUGAACGGAGACUGAAAAUACUUGGAAAGAGCCCACUGGCUCGCUCCCUCAGACCUACAUCGCAUGGGGAAGAAAGGGCCUACGUACUGACACUGCAGGCUCAACGGGGCAGGCACUGGCUUUUGGUUAUAUGCAUAAAACAGCAUCUAUCACAUUAGCUUAUCCUGUCUGUAACUGAGGUCUGUAGGUGCUACCGUGCAGUUCUGCCAACUCUCGCCAAUUUAUCACAAGUCUCAGGAUAUUUGGUGUUUGGUAUUUUUUAAUGAAAGCUGAGGUUCUUAUGCAAAGUAAGCUUCUAGCCUUUGUGACUGCAGAGAAAAGCUUGAAAACUCAAAGCCUAAAGCCUCAAAAAUCAGAAGGCAAAUCAAAGGAAUCUCAACUUUGUUGUGUAAAAAUCUCAUGAUUUUUAAGACAAUCGGUGAUUUUCAUGGGGCUGACUCACUGUUUUUAAACCCGAUACAAAUAAUAAAUAAGAGUCUCUACACGUUUUUCUGUUUUCCCACUAGAAGGCAGGAGGGAGCCAAAUUUUGUUAGACCAUAGCAGCCCUUGAACACUUAGCAAAAGCUAUCAGUUACAAUUACAGCCAUAGAUUGUUACUGUAGAUAGACAGAUGGAAUUUCCUCUUUGAUAUCAACAUCUUUUGUAAGGUUUCAGAGUAGCAGCCUGUUAGUCUGUAUUCGCAAAAAGAAAAGGAGGACUUGCGACACCUUAGAGACUAACACAUUUGAGCAUAAAUAAAUUUGUUAGUCUCUAAGGUGCCACAAGUACUCCUUAUCUUUUGUAAGAGGUCUGUGGUAAACCCACUGUGCAACAGCCACUGCGUGUUGGAAAGGAUCUGUCAGGAAAUCCCUUUCUUCAGCAACUCUUGCAAAAUGUCCCUCAACUUUUGUUGAACAUGUAGCGUCUCUUGGCUGCAGGAGACAGACUGCAAUUCAGCAGCUCUUUUCUCUGACUUGUUUAUCAAUCAGUCAUUUAGCCAACAUGAGUGUAUUACAACCAUAAAAUGCCUUUUCAAACCACAGAUGUAUUUAGCUAGUAAAACACUGUAAUGGAUUAAAAGAGAUGUAUGUAUUAACUUUACAUGGGAGUCUCCUACAA
Long non-coding RNA from Chelonia mydas (Green sea turtle), 1394 nucleotides. RefSeq lists it as uncharacterized. The transcript is spliced from 2 exons. Lineage: Eukaryota; Metazoa; Chordata; Testudines; Cheloniidae. The record is from RefSeq and is a predicted model, not a curated record.